RNAcentral lists this long non-coding RNA (558 nucleotides) under Homo sapiens (human). Its description in RNAcentral is "HSALNT0052466". Lineage: Eukaryota; Metazoa; Chordata; Mammalia; Primates; Hominidae. The record is from RNAcentral.
UCUCAGUGUAUGGGCUGGCAGGCACAUUGAAAGGGUUGGGUGGAGCCACCAGGAAUUCACACCUUAAGCCCGGAUAUUCAACUGUGAAGUGGGUAACUGGCUUUCAGGACCCCUCUCUUUGCCGAGAGCAUUCCUUUUGCAUGAUAAAUUUUACUCCACUCACUCUCUGGGGGCCGUGCACCUAAUUUUUCCUGGUCAUGAGACAAGAACCCAGACCUAGCUGUGCUAAAGGAGCAAAAGUUCUGCAUCAUUUUGGUGGCUGUAUGGGGAUCCUGAGGAAAGGGAAUGUCUCGUGCAUGGGCGUGGAUGAUCAAAGGUCAGCUCUUGGUCAAUGUAAGUAAACAAACCUGUUUAAGAUAAAUUUCCCUAUACUCCCUUGUACCUACUCCUUGCCCUCUGCCUCAGGGUUAUAGAACAGUUGCCUUCAGCUAUUCUCCCCCAGGGCUCUGCAAAACUUUCUGACCUUUCCGAAGGUUUGCAUCCUUUCCCUGUAGUUUUUCCCACCACUCUGACUGAUCCCCCACAUCACAAGAAAUAUUAUUUCAUGGGAAAGUGAAA